UGAAUGGGAAAGGUGCCAUCUGCC
This 24-nucleotide non-coding RNA is filed under the name Mus musculus (house mouse). The record is from RNAcentral. Lineage: Eukaryota; Metazoa; Chordata; Mammalia; Rodentia; Muridae.